AUACGGAGGGUGCAAGCGUUACUCGGAAUCACUGGGCGUAAAGCGCGCGCAGGCGGUCUUUUAAGUUGGAUGUGAAAGCCUACGGCUCAACCGUAGAACUGCAUCCAAAACUAUUAGACUAGAGUGCGGGAGAGGAAGAUGGAAUUAGUUGUGUAGGGGUAAAAUCCGUAGAGAUAACUAGGAAUACCAAAAGCGGAGGCAAUCUUCUGGAACACUUCUGACGCUGAGGCGCGAAAGCGUGGGGAGCAAACAGGAUUAGAAACCCUAGUAGUCC
RNAcentral lists this ribosomal RNA (274 nucleotides) under uncultured bacterium. RNAcentral describes it as "partial 16S ribosomal RNA". It matches the Rfam family "Bacterial small subunit ribosomal RNA", at positions 523 to 796 of the family's 1533-position model. The record is from RNAcentral.